GUAUCCUUUAUUUCAUUUUGAUUUUUUAACAAUUCAAAAAGAGAAAAAGAAAAUUUAUUUUUAAAAAAAGAUAUCUACUAAUUAGUAAGAGGGGGGGGGGGUGACUUUGAGUCCAUUUAUUCCGUUAAACCGACUACUUCAUAACUGACGAUAUUUCUUGUUUUAGAAUGGCAGAUGGGCAGUGGCGCUGCUGCUGCCACCGCAAUUUACUUCAUCCCGCAGGGGACAGCAACAACCGAUUUAUUCUUUAAUUUUUUUUUUUCUUGCCGAAACGAAAGACAUCGUGUUGUACGGACGGCGGACGUCAUCAUCGCCAUCAAUAAUAACUAGCGCCACACAAAAGGGACAAGAUUGGCCGGGCAGCAGCUGACGUUCAACACGUUUUCCCACACAUCAAGAGUCUUUCUCAAGAAUAUUCCAAACAACACAACAAUAAGAAUCAUUUCUUGUUGUUGUUGUUGUUUUGCCAAUUUCUACGGGAAGCCCAUUCGUUUGGGUAACAGACUCGCUGGUGUGGGAGCAGCAAAACUGACGGUGCGCGAGAAAACGGCCAAUUACAAAAAAAAACGACGUCCCAAUCAUCGAAACGUUCCCAGUUUCCCAUGACACCACAAUGGAAAGAGCGUCCAAAUAACUGCGUUGCUGAUUCUCUGUCGUUGUUCAUUUGAUAACACGGGAUUAGCGCAAUUUUUUUUAGCUCAUCAUCCAGCUGAUUCCUGCACACACACACACAACAAAAACGGACAUUCUGCCCAUGUUUCUCUCUUGUUUGAUGCCACCCACAAUUGUUCGGAGGGCUCCAAACCGGACACGGCAUUUCGCCCUGGAGGGGGAUUUUACCUGUCUGUCUCUCUCUGUUUCGGCUAACGCCCUCCCACAUCCUUCACUUCAAUGUUACCACAUGGCCUGUGCUGGGCCAUCGUUCGUUACCCACAGCUGUGGGUGUUGUACCGUCAUAGGGAUUCGUCACGAACGCCCUCCCACCAUUCCCCGAAAUAAAAGAAAAAGUAGCCGAUUUUUCUUUUGUAUGUGUUGAUGUUGUUUGUUAUUUUUGCAGUUGCCAGUUGGAACGUCGUGCGAGACGGACGCGUGCAAGUGCAGCCCUCGAAAAUGUCAAUCCAGGUCAAACAUUUGGAAAUGAAUUUUGUUUCUCUGUUGGGGGAGGUAUCGUAUUUUCCUUAUGUAAAUUGAAAAGAAAAACGGACGAAGUGAUGAGAGAGGGACAUGGAGAUUGGACUGGCCACGAUCGGCCAGUGCGGCAUGGCCACACAAAGAAAAAGAAACAGCCAAUAGGCAAAUUUUGAUUUUUCAAUCUCUCAUUCCCACGCUAUGUUUCAUUCUGGUUUCGGACUUGGCGGCCAAAAACAAACGAACAAUCAAACAUACCCGAUUGCCCGGAAACAAACUAAAAAAAAAAUGAAUAAUAAUUGGUUUCCUGGAACGUCAUUCAUUCUGAUCGUUUACGUAAUUUAAAAAAAUUCCUAAGCCAAAAUUGAAAAAAAAAAUCGACGAGAGAUAACAAAAACGAACGACUAUGUGUCAAAGUAUAACAGGAAACGGCAGCGUUACGGCUUCCACCCCCCAGACUUUUUUAGUUCUUUUUGUGUGUGUGUGUGUGUGAGUUCUAUUCUCGUCUCUCUCUCUCUUGUUUUCCCUGUUACGAUUAGGACGAACCGAAAGCUUUUUUUUAACAGGAUCGACGGCCAAACAAAUUGCAGCCGGUAGGAAAUUGGGCGACCGAGAACACUCGUGACACCGUCAUCCGACUUAAUUGAUUCCAUUGCAAUAAUAAAAAAAUAAAAAAGAAAGAAAGAAAUAAUAAUACGUUCACAGCGGAAAUCGUCAAGGAUAACGAGCGCGUUGAUCGGAAUGCGAACGAAAGGGAAAGUAAAAGAAAAAGAUUUCAAAUCAUUAUUUAAAUGAGCUCACCUGCACUUGAUAGAGGUACUCGUCUUCGCUGCUGCUGCCAGAACUACUUUCACUACUCCUACUACUGGAAGAACGGUUGAUAUCGUGUCUCUAAAAAAAAAAAAAAGGGGGGACAAGAAAAAAGAAAAAUGAAUUCAUCGAAUAAAUAUGCAAAUUGAAACUGGGAGCGAAAUUUAAAAAAAAAAUAGUCAAUUCAUUAGAAAAAAAUACACUGGAAAAGGUUCUGUGUUCCUA
This 2163-nucleotide long non-coding RNA is filed under the name Daphnia magna. Its description in RNAcentral is "uncharacterized LOC116921794". Lineage: Eukaryota; Metazoa; Arthropoda; Branchiopoda; Diplostraca; Daphniidae. The record is from RNAcentral.